GGUUAAGCGACUAAGCGUACACGGUGGAUGCCCUGGCAGUCAGAGGCGAUGAAGGACGUGCUAAUCUGCGAAAAGCGUCGGUAAGGUGAUAUGAACCGUUAUAACCGGCGAUGUCCGAAUGGGGAAACCCAGUGCAAUUCGUUGCACUAUCGUUAACUGAAUACAUAGGUUAACGAGGCGAACCGGGGGAACUGAAACAUCUAAGUACCCCGAGGAAAAGAAAUCAACCGAGAUUCCCCCAGUAGCGGCGAGCGAACGGGGAGCAGCCCAGAGUCUGAAUCAGCUUGUGUGUUAGUGGAACGGUCUGGAAAGUCCGACGGUACAGGGUGAUAGUCCCGUACACCAAAAUGCACAGGUUGUGAACUCGAAGAGUAGGGCGGGACACGUGGUAUCCUGUCUGAAUAUGGGGGGACCAUCCUCCAAGGCUAAAUACUCCUGACUGACCGAUAGUGAACCAGUACCGUGAGGGAAAGGCGAAAAGAACCCCGGCGAGGGGAGUGAAAAAGAACCUGAAACCGUGUACGUACAAGCAGUGGGAGCACCUUCGGGUGUGACUGCGUACCUUUUGUAUAAUGGGUCAGCGACUUAUAUUCUGUAGCAAGGUUAACCGUAUAGGGGAGCCGCAGGGAAACCGAGUCUUAACUGGGCGUUAAGUUGCAGGGUAUAGACCCGAAACCCGGUGAUCUAGCCAUGGGCAGGUUGAAGGUUGGGUAACACUAACUGGAGGACCGAACCGACUAAUGUUGAAAAAUUAGCGGAUGACUUGUGGCUGGGGGUGAAAGGCCAAUCAAACCGGGAGAUAGCUGGUUCUCCCCGAAAGCUAUUUAGGUAGCGCCUCGUGAAUUCAUCUUCGGGGGUAGAGCACUGUUUCGGCUAGGGGGUCAUCCCGACUUACCAACCCGAUGCAAACUACGAAUACCGAAGAAUGUUAUCACGGGAGACACACGGCGGGUGCUAACGUCCGUCGUGAAGAGGGAAACAACCCAGACCGCCAGCUAAGGUCCCAAAGUCAUGGUUAAGUGGGAAACGAUGUGGGAAGGCACAGACAGCCAGGAUGUUGGCUUAGAAGCAGCCAUCAUUUAAAGAAAGCGUAAUAGCUCACUGGUCGAGUCGGCCUGCGCGGAAGAUGUAACGGGGCUAAACCAUGCACCGAAGCUGCGGCAGCGACACUAUGUGUUGUUGGGUAGGGGAGCGUUCUGUAAGCCUGCGAAGGUGACCUGUGAGGGUUGCUGGAGGUAUCAGAAGUGCGAAUGCUGACAUAAGUAACGAUAAAGCGGGUGAAAAGCCCGCUCGCCGGAAGACCAAGGGUUCCUGUCCAACGUUAAUCGGGGCAGGGUGAGUCGACCCCUAAGGCGAGGCCGAAAGGCGUAGUCGAUGGGAAACAGGUUAAUAUUCCUGUACUUGGUGUUACUGCGAAGGGGGGACGGAGAAGGCUAUGUUAGCCGGGCGACGGUUGUCCCGGUUUAAGCAUGUAGGCUGGUUGUCCAGGCAAAUCCGGAUAAUCAAGGCUGAGGUGUGAUGACGAGGCACUACGGUGCUGAAGUAACAAAUGCCCUGCUUCCAGGAAAAGCCUCUAAGCAUCAGGUAACAUCAAAUCGUACCCCAAACCGACACAGGUGGUCAGGUAGAGAAUACCAAGGCGCUUGAGAGAACUCGGGUGAAGGAACUAGGCAAAAUGGUGCCGUAACUUCGGGAGAAGGCACGCUGGUGUGUAGGUGAAGCCCCUGCGGGUGGAGCUGAGACCAGUCGAAGAUACCAGCUGGCUGCAACUGUUUAUUAAAAACACAGCACUGUGCAAACACGAAAGUGGACGUAUACGGUGUGACGCCUGCCCGGUGCCGGAAGGUUAAUUGAUGGGGUUAUCCGUAAGGAGAAGCUCUUGAUCGAAGCCCCGGUAAACGGCGGCCGUAACUAUAACGGUCCUAAGGUAGCGAAAUUCCUUGUCGGGUAAGUUCCGACCUGCACGAAUGGCGUAAUGAUGGCCAGGCUGUCUCCACCCGAGACUCAGUGAAAUUGAACUCGCUGUGAAGAUGCAGUGUACCCGCGGCAAGACGGAAAGACCCCGUGAACCUUUACUAUAGCUUGACACUGAACAUUGAGCCUUGAUGUGUAGGAUAGGUGGGAGGCUUUGAAGCGUGGACGCCAGUCUGCGUGGAGCCAACCUUGAAAUACCACCCUUUAAUGUUUGAUGUUCUAACGUUGGCCCCUUAUCGGGGUUGCGGACAGUGUCUGGUGGGUAGUUUGACUGGGGCGGUCUCCUCCCAAAGCGUAACGGAGGAGCACGAAGGUUAGCUAAUCCUGGUCGGACAUCAGGAGGUUAGUGCAAUGGCAUAAGCUAGCUUGACUGCGAGCGUGACGGCGCGAGCAGGUGCGAAAGCAGGUCAUAGUGAUCCGGUGGUUCUGAAUGGAAGGGCCAUCGCUCAACGGAUAAAAGGUACUCCGGGGAUAACAGGCUGAUACCGCCCAAGAGUUCAUAUCGACGGCGGUGUUUGGCACCUCGAUGUCGGCUCAUCACAUCCUGGGGCUGAAGUAGGUCCCAAGGGUAUGGCUGUUCGCCAUUUAAAGUGGUACGCGAGCUGGGUUUAGAACGUCGUGAGACAGUUCGGUCCCUAUCUGCCGUGGGCGCUGGAGAAUUGAGGGGGGCUGCUCCUAGUACGAGAGGACCGGAGUGGACGCAUCACUGGUGUUCGGGUUGUCAUGCCAAUGGCACUGCCCGGUAGCUAAAUGCGGAAGAGAUAAGUGCUGAAAGCAUCUAAGCACGAAACUUGCCCCGAGAUGAGUUCUCCCUGAGACUUUAAGUCUCCUGAAGGAACGUUGAAGACGACGACGUUGAUAGGCCGGGUGUGUAAGCGCAGCGAUGCGUUGAGCUAACCGGUACUAAUGAACCGUGAGGCUUAACCUU
Molecule: ribosomal RNA, 2902 nt
Filed under: Klebsiella pneumoniae
Lineage: Bacteria; Pseudomonadati; Pseudomonadota; Gammaproteobacteria; Enterobacterales; Enterobacteriaceae
Description: 23S ribosomal RNA
Rfam family: Bacterial large subunit ribosomal RNA
Source: RNAcentral